This 762-nucleotide long non-coding RNA is filed under the name Homo sapiens (human). RNAcentral describes it as "HSALNT0334883". The record is from RNAcentral. Lineage: Eukaryota; Metazoa; Chordata; Mammalia; Primates; Hominidae.
GAACACUGUUAAAAGUGAAAGAGCACUAUUAACAAUUUACAAAGAUACGGUUAAACAAGGCCUAGCACAGGCCAACAAUUUUUUGCCAUGUGGCAGUUGUUUUGAAUUUACCUAGGUUUUUUUUUCUUUUUCUGUAUGUGGAGGGAGAAGAGGAAAGGUAUUGAAGGGAAGUAACUGUAUUCUAUGAUUUUAUUUCAGAUGCAGCUGUUCUCUUAGUUACAUUGGCAGAUUGUGUGUUGUCAAUGUUGACUAUUGCUUAGGGAACCACAGUAUAUCAGUGCAUGGCCUCUGCCUGGCCCUUUCGCACAAUUGUAACUGUAGCGGUCUGCAAAGAUAUGAAAGGAACAUCUGUGAGAUAGAUACUGAAGACUGCAAAUCUGCGUCCUGCAAAAAUGGAACAACUAGUACACAUUUAAGGGGAUAUUUCUUCCGCAAGUGUGUCCCAGGAUUUAAAGGUACGCAAUGUGAAAUUGAUAUAGAUGAGUGUGCUUCACAUCCCUGCAAAAAUGGAGCCACCUGCAUUGACCAACCUGGUAAUUACUUCUGCCAGUGUGUGCCUCCAUUUAAAGUGGUUGAUGGCUUUUCCUGCUUAUGCAAUCCAGGCUAUGUUGGGAUAAGAUGUGAACAGGACAUUGAUGACUGCAUCCUGAAUGCCUGUGAGCACAAUUCUACCUGCAAAGACCUGCAUCUCCAUCAUGAUGCUGAAUUUAGAUGAAAAGCAGAAAAUAAGAAGACUUCAAAUCCACAGUAGGAAGUGAUUUG